Molecule: ribosomal RNA, 450 nt
Filed under: uncultured bacterium
Lineage: Bacteria
Description: partial 16S ribosomal RNA
Rfam family: Bacterial small subunit ribosomal RNA
Source: RNAcentral
GUGGGGAAUAUUGCACAAUGGGCGCAAGCCUGAUGCAGCCAUGCCGCGUGUGUGAAGAAGGCCUUCGGGUUGUAAAGCACUUUCAGCGGGGAGGAAGGCGUUAAGGUUAAUAACCUCAUCGAUUGACGUUACCCGCAGAAGAAGCACCGGCUAACUCCGUGCCAGCAGCCGCGGUAAUACGGAGGGUGCAAGCGUUAAUCGGAAUUACUGGGCGUAAAGCGCACGCAGGCGGUCUGUCAAGUCGGAUGUGAAAUCCCCGGGCUCAACCUGGGAACUGCAUUCGAAACUGGCAGGCUAGAGUCUUGUAGAGGGGGGUAGAAUUCCAGGUGUAGCGGUGAAAUGCGUAGAGAUCUGGAGGAAUACCGGUGGCGAAGGCGGCCCCCUGGACAAAGACUGACGCUCAGGUGCGAAAGCGUGGGGAGCAAACAGGAUUAGAAACCCUUGUAGUCC